AGGACGGACGCUGGCGGCGUGCUUAACACAUGCAAGUCGAGCGGAAAGGCCCUUCGGGGUACUCGAGCGGCGAACGGGUGAGUAACACGUGAGCAACCUGCCCUUAGCUCUGGGAUAGCUCCGGGAAACCGGAAUUAAUACCGGAUACGACCUAGGCCGACAUCGGCCAUGGUGGAAAGUUUUUCGGCUAGGGAUGGACUCGCGGCCUAUCAGCUAGUUGGUGGGGUAAAGGCCUACCAAGGCGACGACGGGUAGCCGGCCUGAGAGGGCGACCGGCCACACUGGGACUGAGACACGGCCCAGACUCCUACGGGAGGCAGCAGUGGGGAAUCUUGCGCAAUGGGCGAAAGCCUGACGCAGCGACGCCGCGUGGGGGAUGAAGGCCUUCGGGUUGUAACCCCUUUCAGCAGGGACGAAGCGAAAGUGACGGUACCUGCAGAAGAAGUGCCGGCUAACUACGUGCCAGCAGCCGC
RNAcentral lists this ribosomal RNA (473 nucleotides) under uncultured bacterium. RNAcentral describes it as "SSU rRNA". It matches the Rfam family "Bacterial small subunit ribosomal RNA", at positions 26 to 518 of the family's 1533-position model. The record is from RNAcentral.